UAUAAUUGCUUCCCACGAAUCUUAGACAGAGGCUUCCCUUGAUCGAAUGUCCCAUCCAUGAGAAUCCGACAAAGGACCUCCAUACACCAAUUGUGAAAAGGCAGUAUAGCACGUUGCUUGAAGUGAUUGCAAAUUGCAAACACUCGCCUCUUUCCUCCACCCUCCACUGAACUCCCCAGCCGGCCCAUUGUUAAUGAAUGCUCUAUAGGAUUCCACCUAAUACAAGCCAUAAUAAGCUUUGAUA
Molecule: long non-coding RNA, 244 nt
Filed under: Amborella trichopoda
Lineage: Eukaryota; Viridiplantae; Streptophyta; Magnoliopsida; Amborellales; Amborellaceae
Description: long non-coding RNA (ATRI_LNC003071)
Source: RNAcentral